This 270-nucleotide ribosomal RNA is filed under the name uncultured archaeon. RNAcentral describes it as "partial 16S ribosomal RNA". It matches the Rfam family "Archaeal small subunit ribosomal RNA", at positions 477 to 747 of the family's 1478-position model. The record is from RNAcentral.
CAGCAUCUCAAGUGGUCAGGAUGAUUAUUGGGCCUAAAGCAUCCGUAGCCGGCGCUGUAAGUUUUCGGUUAAAUCUGUACGCUCAACGUACAGGCUGCCGGGAAUACUGCAGCGCUAGGGAGUGGGAGAGGUAGACGGUACUCGGUAGGAAGGGGUAAAAUCCUUUGAUCUAUUGAUGACCACCUGUGGCGAAGGCGGUCUACCAGAACACGUCCGACGGUGAGGGAUGAAAGCUGGGGGAGCAAACCGGAUUAGAUACCCGAGUAGUCC